GAGAGAUUGAGAACUCUGAGAAAUACAAAUCAAGGCACUGACUAGAAUUCACAGCAUCUCCUGUAAUGGAUAUUAUUUUGUCUCCUAUUCCCAUUUACCGAAGGCAGAUUGGUUGAAUAACAAGCUGUUGCUGUUCUUUUCACUGAAAUCGUUUGAUUUGUUUGUACUUUAUAAGGCAGCAGCUUGCAAACAGGAAGAGUCAGCCAGCCAUUCUGACUGUACCACGACCAUCUACCAUGUGAUAGUGCCCUGGAAUUAAGACUCCUGAUUGGUGAUGAACGUUCCAAGUUAAUUCGAGCCUCAAAGCGAGCGUCAUCCAGCAUUUCACCGGGAGCCGCACUGAACUGCCCGGGAGCCGCGGUUUGGCCACCUCUACAAAUGUUCUACAAAUCGUGGUGCACUGCAGAAAGAUGUUCUUACCCAUGCUGCGGUUGCCGAGAUACUGUCUAACACUGACAUUUCCCAGUUGAUUUGGAAUCACUCGGUUGAUCUGGAGGCAAACAGCUGCAUUGUCA
Long non-coding RNA from Acipenser ruthenus (sterlet), 515 nucleotides. RefSeq lists it as uncharacterized. NCBI's taxonomy places the organism in Eukaryota, Metazoa, Chordata, Actinopteri, Acipenseriformes, Acipenseridae. The record is from RefSeq and is a predicted model, not a curated record. The transcript is spliced from 4 exons.